GCCCGACUAGCUCAGUUGGUAGAGCAUGGGAUUCUUGAUCUCAGGAUCGUAGGUUUGAGCCUCAUGUGGGGCA
Pangasianodon gigas (Mekong giant catfish) is the source of this 73-nucleotide non-coding RNA. Lineage: Eukaryota; Metazoa; Chordata; Actinopteri; Siluriformes; Pangasiidae. The record is from the annotation of a GenBank genome assembly.